CUAGAUCCAACCUGAGGACUGGGAUCGGAGGUCUUUCCAGAAACAGAAGGCUUCUAGCUGCUCCCAUGGGUUUCAGGAGGAAUCCGCUUGCUUGGAUCAGCUGACCUCUGACAGUUUGUUUAGGGAAGGAGUGGGGAGUGAUUGUUACAGGCCCUGCAGGGGAGAGAGCCUGUGGGUGGUGGUGCUGAGGCGUGUUUAAUGAGGCUGUCCCUUAGUCAGGGGCUGAAGGUGGACCCUUGACAUUUGGAAGCAGCGUGGAGAGUCACUGUGCACCCCCUGAGAGAGGGAGGCCUCUGCCCGGAGCAGGGAACUUCAUAAGUGGCGGCCCAGAGGGAACCGUCCACAGAACCCCCCCUGUCUCCCCUCCAGAGUGUAGGUCCCUGAGGGCAGUCACCUGAUCUGUCUCGGUCACUGCAGUGUCCCCAAACAGAGCACCGCCUCAGGCACACAGAGGGCAGUGGUGAGGACUAAAGGAGGCAAUGAGAAGAGAGUCCCCACAAGGAGCCUGGCACAGAGGAAGUUUCGACGUAUGCUGUCCAUUGCAACUUCGACUUAUGCUGCGUUUCUGUGUCGGAACAGUGGAAGACAUUCAACAAGCACUUUGUCUCAGAGGCUUAGUUACAAUUAAUUGAGCCUGAAAGACCAUAGACUUGAAAAAGCCCUCAAAGUGAUAAAGGUAAAAAGAAAAAUAAAAUGACAUCUAGCAGGCAUUGAGGGCUCUACAACGUGUGGCUAGCCUGUAUUCAGCACCCUACAGUGUGCAGCCAGGCUGUGCUCAGCAUCCUACAGUGUGCAGCCAGGCUGUGCUCAGUACUCUACAGUGAGUAGCCAGCCUGUGCUCAGCACUCCACAGUGAGUGGCCAGCCUGUGGUCAGGACUGUACAGUGAGUGGCCAGUCUAUACUCUGCACUCUACAGUGAGUGGCCAGCCUGUACACAGCACUCCACAGUCGUCAUCUUUUCAUCAUAAAUCUAAUGGCCACUUAAUGAGGUAGACCUGUCCCAUGACUCCAACUGAUUUUAAAAAUUCAAAACUCAUACUCUCUUGCAUUUGGCAACCAAAACACAACCCACUUCCUGGGACCUUCUGACAGCCAGGCCACGUUGAGCAAACACCGAGACCUCUUCAGAGUUGGUCAGCAGCCAGGUCAGCAGUGACUGGCAAGGCGACUGCUUGCCAGGUCUCCUCCAGCAUGAGCUUGGGAUGGAGCUGAAUCCCUUUCAUGCACAAGCAGAAUUUGAAAAGGUGCGGGGCCACACUAGUACCUCUGCGUCUCCUGCCAGAGCCCACCAGCUUAUUUUGCUCCUUCAGAGUCUGUAAAGCAUCCUUCUGGAUGACGAAUGCCUUCCGAGGCUCCAGCCCACCAAGCCUUCCUCUAAGUUUCAGAUGCAGAGGCCACCUCGGAGAACUGUGAUUGUCUCCCUGCAUCUCCCCAGUGCCCCCGGAUGAGUGCCACCCUCCUCACCUGCUAUCACAAAGACAAGAAAGGCCAUUCAUAAUUUAAGUCAGCCCUUUCUUUCCUGCACGCCACCAACAUGAGUCAGAUGCUGGAGGAAAAAUUGAACUCUUUCUCCCAGGAUACACCAAAGAUCAAGCAGAAUCUCAUUAAGGCUCACUUCAAAGACUCGUCCUUUAUUUCCAUAUAAACAAGUUUAAAUUAUCGUGCGUGAAUCUGCUGUUAGCAGGGACUCUGUUCCAUUAUGCAUGAUUCCUUACUGUUCAUAUCAUGAAUAAUGGGCAGUGCUCCGUUAGCGAUUUCCAGUAAUAUGCUAAACUUUGGGAGUGGUCAUAGUGUUAGGUUAAAGUUCUGGUGUUUGCCUAUUUUAUUUCUUACUCAAGCUAUAAUGGCCUGCUUCAUCAAAAUAGGUUUCACAAUCUUAUUGUAAUGAACACAGCAUAACACAUGUUGUGGCUAUGAUUUCCUUAUUAUUAUUAUUGAAUAUUUAUUGAGCACUUACUAUGUGUAAGGGAUGGUGCUCAGUGUAUGCAUUGCAUGCAUAAUAUUUAAUCUUCCGGAAUCCCAUGAAAUAGCUAUGAUGAUUAUUCCCAUUUUACUGGUGAAAAAAACUGAUAAUUUGAGCAGGAUCUAAAUUGUCCACAGAUAAAACUUUUUUGUAUGUUUUUGAGACAGGGUCUCACUUUGUGACCCAGGCUGGAGUGCAGUGGUGCAAUUAUGGCUCACUGCAGCCUUGACUUUCCAGGCUCAAGCGAUCCUCCCACCUCAGCCUCCUGAGUAACUGGGACUACAGGCAUGCACCAUCACACUGGCUAAUGUUUUAAACAAUUUUUGUAGAGAUGGUGUCUUGCUAUUUUGCCGAAGCUGGUCUGGAACUCCUGGGCUCAAGCAAUCCGCCCACUUCAGCCUCCCAAGAUGAUGGGAGUACAGGCAUGAGCUACCGUGCCUGGCCUGAUAGAACUGUUAAUAAAUGGUAAUGCUGAUUCAAAUCAGUUGGUCUGACUUCAGAUACUCCUAAUUAUAAAAUACUUUUUACAAUGCUAUUACUUGCUGAAGAGCUUCGGUAGAUAAUCGAUGAUUUGGUAAGCAGGUAUUUGGAUGUCCAGUGCACAUUUCUCACGUCCAGAUGAGAAAUGAAUGCUCAGGAGAUUGAUUGAUACCUGGGAGUGAGAAAAUCCUUGUUCAAGUACUGGUUUUGACUUCACUUAAUCUUGGGCAAGUCAUCCAGUCUUCCUGGAUGUGCUGAGGUGGUUGCAUUACUGCCUUUGUAAUUUUUUUUCUUUUUUUUAUUAUACUUUAAGUUCUAGGGUACAUGUGCACAACGUGCAGGUUUGUUACAUAUGUAUAUAUGUGUCAUGUUGGUGUGCUGCACCCAUUAACUCAUCAUUUUCAUAAGGUAUAUCUCCUAAUGCUAUCCGUCCCCCCUCCCCCCACUCCAUGACAGGCCCCUCUGUGUGAUGUUCCCCAUCCUGUGUCUAAGUGUUCUCAUUGUUCAAUUCCCACCUAUGAGCGAGAGAGAACAUGCGGUGUUUGGUUUUCUGUCCUUGCGAUAGUUUGCUCAGAAUGAUGGUUUCCAGCUUCAUCCAUGUCCCUACAAAGGACAUGAACUCAUCCAUUUUUAUGGCUACGUAGUAUUCCAUGGUGUAUAUGUGCCAAAUUUUCUUAAUCCAGUCUAUCAUUGGUGGACAUUUGGAUUGGUUCCAAGUCUUUGCUAUUGUGAAUAGUGCCGCAAUAAACAUACAUGUGCAUAUGUCUUU
This 3213-nucleotide non-coding RNA is filed under the name Pan troglodytes (chimpanzee). Lineage: Eukaryota; Metazoa; Chordata; Mammalia; Primates; Hominidae. The record is from RNAcentral.